GGUUGAUCUUUAGUGGUAAAAAAAGGGACCUAUUGGGUUUUGCUAUGGCCUUUUGGAUUGGGGCUGCAGAGUUUGAAGGAAUUUGCAUAGAAUCCAUGAGAAAAAAAUGCGAGUUAUAUAUAGAUGGGACAAUGUGUUUGUAUCUGCAUAUGAAAAGAAAAGAAAAGAAAAAAUAGAGGAGAGGAAGAGGUUUUUCAUGCGGUGGCAAAAGGACUC
Molecule: unclassified non-coding RNA, 216 nt
Filed under: Hevea brasiliensis (rubber tree)
Lineage: Eukaryota; Viridiplantae; Streptophyta; Magnoliopsida; Malpighiales; Euphorbiaceae
Source: RNAcentral